UCUAAUGAAGUUGCAGAUAAUCUAGCUGCAGAUAAUCUAGCAUUGGAAGGUCCUGAAAGGAGCGACGAGAGCUCAGCAAGAAGUCCGGUGCGUGCACCUCCAUCUAGUGUAGCAGAUAAUCUAGCCUUGGAAGGUCCUGAAAGGAGCGACGAGAGCUCAGCAAGAAGUCCGGUGCGUGCACCUCCAUCUAGUGUAGCAGAUAAUCUAGCCUUGGAAGGUCCUGAAAGGAGCGACGAGAGCUCAGCAAGAAGUCCGGUGCGUGCACCUCCAUCUAGUGUAGCAGAUAAUCUAGCCUUGGAAGGUCCUGAAAGGAGCGACGAGAGCUCAGCAAGAAGUCCGGUGCUUGCACCUCCAUCUAGUGUAGCAGAUAAUCUAGCCUUGGAAGGUCCUGAAAGGAGCGACGAGAGCUCAGCAAGAAGUCCGGUGCCUGCACCUCCAUCUAGUGUAGCAGAUAAUCUAGCCUUGGAAGGUCCUGAAAGGAGCGACGAGAGCUCAGUAAGAAGUCCAGUCAUCAACCUCCAUCUAGUGUAGCAGUAAGGAAAAGAACCUCUCCACUCUUUUAUUUGGCUAUUCUUCUAUAAAAGUUAAUUAUCUGGUUUCUUAGGUAGCAUAACCCAAAUAUAUUUAUAUCCCAACAGGAA
Molecule: long non-coding RNA, 641 nt
Filed under: Eucalyptus grandis
Lineage: Eukaryota; Viridiplantae; Streptophyta; Magnoliopsida; Myrtales; Myrtaceae
Description: long non-coding RNA (EGRA_LNC002472)
Source: RNAcentral